AACAGGAUUAGAUACCCUGGUAGUCCACGCCGUAAACGAUGUCGACUUGGAGGUUGUGCCCUUGAGGCGUGGCUUCCGGAGCUAACGCGUUAAGUCGACCGCCUGGGGAGUACGGCCGCAAGGUUAAAACUCAAAUGAAUUGACGGGGGCCCGCACAAGCGGUGGAGCAUGUGGUUUAAUUCGAUGCAACGCGAAGAACCUUACCUACUCUUGACAUCCAGAGAACUUAGCAGAGAUGGUUUGGUGCCUUCGGGAACUCUGAGACAGGUGCUGCAUGGCUGUCGUCAGCUCGUGUUGUGAAAUGUUGGGUUAAGUCCCGCAACGAGCGCAACCCUUAUCCUUUGUUGCCAGCGGUCCGGCCGGGAACUCAAAGGAGACUGCCAGUGAUAAACUGGAGGAAGGUGGGGAUGACGUCAAGUCAUCAUGGCCCUUACGAGUAGGGCUACACACGUGCUACAAUGGCGCAUACAAAGAGAAGCGACCUCGCGAGAGCAAGCGGACCUCAUAAAGUGCGUCGUAGUCCGGAUUGGAGUCUGCAACUCGACUCCAUGAAGUCGGAAUCGCUAGUAAUCGUGGAUCAGAAUGCCACGGUGAAUACGUUCCCGGGCCUUGUACACACCGCCCGUCACACCAUGGGAGUGGGUUGCAAAAGAAGUAGGUAGCUUAACCUUCGGGAGGGCGCUUACCACUUUGUGAUUCAUGACUGGGGUGAAGUCGUAACAAGGUAACC
This 730-nucleotide ribosomal RNA is filed under the name uncultured bacterium. RNAcentral's name for it is "bacterial SSU rRNA". It matches the Rfam family "Bacterial small subunit ribosomal RNA", at positions 771 to 1501 of the family's 1533-position model. The record is from RNAcentral.